CCUACGGGAGGCAGCAGUGGGGAAUAUUGGACAAUGGGGGGAACCCUGAUCCAGCCAUGCCGCGUGUGUGAAGAAGGCCCUCGGGUUGUAAAGCACUUUCAGUGAGGAAGAACGCCUGGUGGUUAAUACCCAUCAGGAAAGACAUCACUCACAGAAGAAGCACCGGCUAACUCCGUGCCAGCAGCCGCGGUAAUACGGAGGGUGCGAGCGUUAAUCGGAAUUACUGGGCGUAAAGCGCGCGUAGGUGGCUUGAUAAGCCGGUUGUGAAAGCCCCGGGCUCAACCUGGGAACGGCAUCCGGAACUGUCAAGCUAGAGUGCAGGAGAGGAAGGUAGAAUUCCCGGUGUAGCGGUGAAAUGCGUAGAGAUCGGGAGGAGUACCAGUGGCGAAGGCGGCCUUCUGGACUGACACUGACACUGAGGUGCGAAAGCGUGGGUAGCAAACAGGAUUAGAUAGCCUGGUAGUC
Molecule: ribosomal RNA, 465 nt
Filed under: Vreelandella stevensii
Lineage: Bacteria; Pseudomonadati; Pseudomonadota; Gammaproteobacteria; Oceanospirillales; Halomonadaceae
Description: partial 16S ribosomal RNA
Rfam family: Bacterial small subunit ribosomal RNA
Source: RNAcentral